RNAcentral lists this long non-coding RNA (239 nucleotides) under Musa acuminata (dwarf banana). Its description in RNAcentral is "long non-coding RNA (MACU_LNC010700)". The record is from RNAcentral. Lineage: Eukaryota; Viridiplantae; Streptophyta; Magnoliopsida; Zingiberales; Musaceae.
AAUGAUUCAAGAAAUGGAUGCUAAAACCAACAAGAGAGAGAGAGAGAGAGAGAGAGAGAGGGUCUGUUGAUAUUCAUGAAUUCGUAGCUCCCAACGUAACUUCAGUCCUCGAAAACAUCUGGCUCGGUGAUCCGGCUCUGGUGGAGGGGGGCCUCGGCCUCCCAUUGUUGUACAUCCACCCCAGAGAACGUCUUCUUGAAACCCCCCUCCAUCCCUCCCUCCUCAGUGAUCAUGGAAGG